GAUGAACGCUAGCGGCAGGCUUAACACAUGCAAGUCGAGGGGCAGCGCGGGGCAGCAAUGUUCUGGCGGCGACCGGCGGAAGGGUGCGUAACGCGUGAGCGACAUGCCCGUUGCCCGGGGACAACCGGUGGAAACGCCGACUAAUCCCCGAUGGGACGGAGGCCCUCAUGGGUCUCCGUUGAAAGUUACGGCGGCGACGGAUUGGCUCGCGUCCGAUUAGCUUGUUGGCGGGGUAACGGCCCACCAAGGCUACGAUCGGUAGGGGUUCUGAGAGGAAGGUCCCCCACAAUGGAACUGAGACACGGUCCAUACUCCUACGGGAGGCAGCAGUGAGGAAUAUUGGUCAAUGGGCGGAAGCCUGAACCAGCCAUGCCGCGUGCGGGAAGGAGGCCCUAUGGGCUGUGAACCGCUUUUGCCUGGGGGCAAUAAGGGCGUCGUGCACGUCCGAUGAGAGUAUCAGGCGAAUAAGCAUCGGCUAACUCCGUGCCAGCAGCCGCGGUAAUACGGGGGAUGCGAGCGUUAUCCGGAUUCAUUGGGUUUAAAGGGUGCGUAGGCUGUGCGUCAAGUCAGGGGUGAAAUUCCGGGGCUCAACUCCGGGGCUGCCCUUGAUACUGUCGCGCUGGAGUGCGGAUGCCGCCGGAGGAAUGAGUGGUGUAGCGGUGAAAUGCUUAGAUAUCACUCAGAACACCGAUUGCGAAGGCAUCUGGCGAAUCCGUAACUGACGCUGAGGCACGAAAGCGUGGGGAUAGAACAGGAUUAGAUACCCUGGUAUUCCACGCCGUAAACGAUGAUGGCUAACCGCCGGCGACACACUGUCGGUGGCCAAGCGAAAGCGAUAAGCCAUCCACCUGGGGAGUACGUCGGCAACGAUGCAACUCAAAGGAAUUGACGG
Molecule: ribosomal RNA, 892 nt
Filed under: uncultured Bacteroidota bacterium
Lineage: Bacteria; Pseudomonadati; Bacteroidota
Description: bacterial SSU rRNA
Rfam family: Bacterial small subunit ribosomal RNA
Source: RNAcentral